This 253-nucleotide ribosomal RNA is filed under the name uncultured bacterium. Its description in RNAcentral is "partial 16S ribosomal RNA". It matches the Rfam family "Bacterial small subunit ribosomal RNA", at positions 524 to 776 of the family's 1533-position model. The record is from RNAcentral.
UACGGGGGGGGCAAGCGUUGUUCGGAAUUACUGGGCGUAAAGGGCUCGUAGGUGGCCAACUAAGUCAGACGUGAAAUCCCUCGGCUUAACCGGGGAACUGCGUCUGAUACUGGAUGGCUUGAGUUUGGGAGAGGAAUGCGGAAUUCCAGGUGUAGCGGUGAAAUGCGUAGAUAUCUGGAGGAACACCGGUGGCGAAGGCGGCAUUCUGGACCAAUACUGACGCUGAGGAGCGAAAGCCAGGGGAGCAAGCGGG